Molecule: long non-coding RNA, 307 nt
Filed under: Ananas comosus (pineapple)
Lineage: Eukaryota; Viridiplantae; Streptophyta; Magnoliopsida; Poales; Bromeliaceae
Description: long non-coding RNA (ACOM_LNC010822)
Source: RNAcentral
AAACUUAUAUCUAAUUAAUUUUCAGUUUGCUAUUAUGGAGCUAAAGUUGCUAAGUAUAAAAUUAUGAAAAUAUCGUUCUUUACCGGCUUAAGUUUUUAUACCGGCUUAAGUUUUUAUAGAAAAUAACGAUUGUUUCGUAUUAUUUAACAUAAUAUCAGAGUAGGAGGUUAUGAAUUCGAGUCACGCCAAGUUUCUAGUAUUAUUAAUUUUCUUCAAUUUAGUUUAAAUUCAUGUCAUAAGUCUAUCAAAAAAUUUUGAAUCUAAAUAUAAUUUAAACUUUUAGAGUAGGGUUGUUUCACAAAAAUUA